ACAGAGCAGAAAGGUGGUUACGAGAGGCUGAGAUUUGUGGGAGGAGGAGGGAUGGGGAAAAGGAGGAUAUGGAUCAUAGUGUAGAAAGUUUCAGUUAGACUGGAAUUCAAAGUUGCUAAGAUAGAUUUUUAACAUUCUCACCACACACAAAAAAGCGAUAAAUUGGUGAGGUGAUGGAUUAGCUUGACUGACUCUUUCCAUAAUGUACACAUAGAUCAAAACAUCACAUUGAAAAUAAAUAAAUAGGCUAGGCAUGGUGGCUCAUGCCUGUAAUCCCAGCACUUUGGGAAGCCAAGGCAGGCAGACUGCUUAAGCUCAGGAGUUUGAGACCAGCCUGUACAAUGUGGCAAAACCCCAUGUCUACCAAAAAAUAAGAAAAUUAGCUGGGCGUGGAGGUGCACACCUGUGGUCCCAGCUACUCUGCAGGCUGAGAAAGGAGGAUUGCUUGAGUCCAGGAGGCAGAGGUUGCAGUGAGCCCAGAUGUGCCACUGCACUCCAGCCUGUGUGACAGAAUGAGACUCCGUCUCAAAAAAAAAAAUGAAUAAAUGAAUAAAUAACAUUACAUUGUCCUCUACAUAUAUGCACACAAUUAUUUGUCAAUUAAAAUUUUUUAAAAACAUUUUUUAAAACAGCACCACCUACUUCCAAAUGAGUGGUCCCUACAGGGGCAAUACCGCCCUGGUGGAAAACUUCUGGCCUAAAUGACCUCUACCAUCCCUUCCAGAGCUGGCUUUCCACUAUCCUAAACUCUGAAGGUUGAUCAUUGAUUGAAAGCUUUGGUGCCAGAGACUGAUCCACUGCUUCUCAAGCCGUCUCACCUUCUUCCUGGUCGUCUAUUGCAUCACUGAGUUGUGGCCAAAGUAUAUGAAGAGAAGUGACAGAUGCCAUGCCCAUGUCUGGACUGCUAAACCCUUGCAUCUGAUCUUCCACUUCCUUUCUCUCUUUCCUCAUCUGCCAGCAGGUGUUGAAGAUGGCACAGUCCCCAUCAAUCCAGGACCCAACCUCAUUCCACUAGUGACUAGACUGCCAGUCAGCAAGAAAUAAGCAUCUGGCACUUUAAGCCACUGGGAUUUCAGGGCUGGGAAGAAAAAUCCAUCAGAGUAAGAGAUGGCAGUGGUUGGAAAAAGUAAAGACAUUCUCUACUUGUACCCUCUGUGGAGUUCAGACUUUCCAUAAAUCAGGCACUGUGUCAAUGAGGAUACCCAGGAGAUGAAUGGAAUCUACUGUCUUUCCCACGCUUGUCAAGGCAUCUCAUCUGAGCAGUUACCAACAUCAGCACAGUGGGGCUGGUCUGCCCCAUCUCCAUCUGACCCGCCCAGCUUGCCCAGUGAUGCAUCACACCGCAAUAGUGGGACAUUUUUUUUCUAACAAUGGUUCUACUCCCCUGGUGUAAAAGCAAAUAAACGGGAAUGGGGUAUAACUUGAUACUAAAUUCUGUGAAAAUAAUCCAUUUGCACUGCACAUAGUUAAUGUGUGGUGCUAACUUGCUACUCUUCAUCCAAGCAGACAGAAGCAGUUGUGCCCUCAUAUAUAGAGGUGCCAGGCAGUCGGGGACAUGAUGAGGAAGUGUUUCUGAAAUCUCUUGUCAAAAGCAUUCAACAGGAAUGCUAAGAAUAAUGGCAAUGAAACACCACCACACCAAGUAAACAAUCGCAUUAACUUCAUUUUGCAGAUGAGGAAAUUGAAGCUCAGUGUGAUUAAAUGACUUACACAAGGGCACGGCUGCUAAGACAUGAAAGAGCUUGGAACUGGACCCAAGUUCUUCCUUCUCUCACAGAAAGAUAUGCUUGCUGAAAGCUCUGCAGAUUUGAAGAUU
RNAcentral lists this long non-coding RNA (1816 nucleotides) under Homo sapiens (human). RNAcentral's name for it is "HSALNT0143053". The record is from RNAcentral. Lineage: Eukaryota; Metazoa; Chordata; Mammalia; Primates; Hominidae.